Molecule: long non-coding RNA, 1270 nt
Organism: Strigops habroptila (Kakapo)
Lineage: Eukaryota; Metazoa; Chordata; Aves; Psittaciformes; Psittacidae
Exons: 4
Source: RefSeq, a predicted model, not a curated record
UGCAGUGCUACACAGCACCUGUGCCCUUGCAGUGCACAAGAGCCACUCACUGCUCAGUGCUGGGGAGGUGGUAAGAGUUUUAUUUGGCCAGCUAAGACAGCAGGGACCUAGCAGAACGUUUUCAGUUCCAUGGCUGGUUUGUAUUUUUUGACUUGCAAACACCCCAUCAUAUAUCUACAAAUUACAUGCACAUGAAUGAUCACCUUCCUAGGAUAGGCAGCUUGUUCUUGUACCAUCUGAGCCUGGAACGGAGAGAAGGGGUAGGCAUUGGGAAUGGGCAGAGCUGCUGUGGCACAAAUCCUACCCCAGGACCCAGGUGGUUGCCCAAAGCAGAUGAUCUGGGCGAUGCUGGUGAGCUUGCCUUGCUGCUGGCUCUUUGAGAGCUGGCUGCAGCAUCAGGGGGAUGCUCUGGUAGCUGUUAGCUCUCUGCAUACUUACUGGUUUUCUUCAUGCCUCUGGCUCCGGAUUUGUAAUUCUCUCUUGUGAUGAGAUGGUCUAUGAUUUUUUUUUUUGUAUUUUAUUUUAUUUUUAACAAAGUUCUCAGCUGUUGUAGUGACAGGGAGAGCUUGGAAAAUAUGACUUUUAAAGGAUCAGCAGUCUGAAGGCCAAUAACCAGCCACAUGCAACCGUUCCACCCUGACACCUCUAUUACUAGCAUUUCAGUCUCUUGAUUUCUUGAGAUCUGACUCCUGGGUUCAGAGCACUUGGAAUAAUGCUCGUGUCACUCACUCACCUACUUCAGUGGAGUGGGAGGAGAGUGCUGAGUUACUGGAAUAGCUGUCUCUUCAAUACCUGGAAACAUUCUUUCUCUCUGCAUCACAGCCUAAUUUUGGAGUGCACCGUGUGAUGUAAAAUGAAGUUCAAGUUGCUAGUCAUCCCCAGGGCUCAAUUUUGUCAAGCCUUUAUAUGAGAAAAAGGAUCCGUAUGAGGCCUAAAAGGUGCUGCUUAUCUUUGCAGUAACCUGACUGGCAGCGUGUGUUUCCAGGACACGUUGAUAGAAAGUCAGAGCCGGGUUUGGUGUAGCACUCCCAUGCAGAGCUCCAGAUCAGACUGGAGCAGCUGGCGGACUUCCUGACAUCUGCCGCUGAUACCACCCGUGUGCGCUUUUAAGUCAGUAAUAUAAAGACAUCCUACUGACCUGCUAGCUUGGGUCUCCUCCCUGCUGUUAGAGGACACAUAAAAAUGAAGAGGCCUUUCUGUGUUUUUUAGCAUGACUUCUCUGAAAACACUAGAAGGAGCUUAAAAGAGAGUAAAUGUGACACCCGGUUCC